UACGUAGGUGGCAAGCGUUGUCCGGAUUUACUGGGCGUAAAGAGCGCGCAGGCGGUCGUCCAAGGCGAAUGUGAAAGCCCCCGGCUCAACUGGGGAGGGUCAUUCGAUACUGUUCGACUCGAAGGCAGGAGAGGGAAGUGGAAUUCCGGGUGUAGUGGUGAAAUGCGUAGAUAUCCGGAGGAACACCAGUGGCGAAGGCGACUUUCUGGCCUGUUCUUGACGCUGAGGCGCGAAAGCUAGGGGAGCAAACGGG
This 253-nucleotide ribosomal RNA is filed under the name uncultured bacterium. Its description in RNAcentral is "partial 16S ribosomal RNA". It matches the Rfam family "Bacterial small subunit ribosomal RNA", at positions 524 to 776 of the family's 1533-position model. The record is from RNAcentral.